Molecule: ribosomal RNA, 195 nt
Filed under: uncultured bacterium
Lineage: Bacteria
Description: partial 16S ribosomal RNA
Rfam family: Bacterial small subunit ribosomal RNA
Source: RNAcentral
UACUCCUACGGGAGGCAGCAGUGAGGAAUAUUGGUCAAUGGCCGAGAGCCUGAACCAGCCAAGUAGCGUGAAGGAUGACGGCCCUACGGGUUGUAAACUUCUUUUAUAAGGGAAUAAAGGGCGCCACGUCGUGGUGUUUUGCAUGUACCUUAUGAAUAAGCAUCGGCUAACUCCGUGCCAGCGAGCCGCGGUAAU